RNAcentral lists this ribosomal RNA (253 nucleotides) under uncultured bacterium. Its description in RNAcentral is "partial 16S ribosomal RNA". It matches the Rfam family "Bacterial small subunit ribosomal RNA", at positions 524 to 776 of the family's 1533-position model. The record is from RNAcentral.
UACGGAGGGUGCAAGCGUUGCUCGGAAUCACUGGGCGUAAAGCGUACGCAGGCGGCUUGCCAAGUCGGAUGUGAAAGCCCGGGGCUCAACCCCGGAACUGCAUUCGAAACUGGUAGGCUUGAGUACUGGAGAGGGAAGCGGAAUUCCUGGUGUAGAGGUGAAAUUCGUAGAUAUCAGGAGGAACACCCGUGGCGAAAGCGGCUUCCUGGCCAGAUACUGACGCUCAUGUACGAAAGCGUGGGGAGCAAACAGG